RNAcentral lists this ribosomal RNA (253 nucleotides) under uncultured bacterium. RNAcentral describes it as "partial 16S ribosomal RNA". It matches the Rfam family "Bacterial small subunit ribosomal RNA", at positions 524 to 776 of the family's 1533-position model. The record is from RNAcentral.
UACGGAGGGGGCUAGCGUUGUUCGGAAUUACUGGGCGUAAAGCGCACGUAGGCGGCGAUUUAAGUCAGAGGUGAAAGCCCGGGGCUCAACCCCGGAAUUGCCUUUGAGACUGGAUUGCUAGAAUCUUGGAGAGGCGAGUGGAAUUCCGAGUGUAGAGGUGAAAUUCGUAGAUAUUCGGAAGAACACCAGUGGCGAAGGCGGCUCGCUGGACAAGUAUUGACGCUGAGGUGAGAAAGCGUGGGGAGCAAACAGG